UCCCUGGUAGUAUAUCGGUUAGUACACGCGCCUGUCAUGGAGAAUCGUUCAACAUCGGAGAUGCGCGCGAAAGCUGGGUUCGACUCCCAGCCAGGGAG
Non-coding RNA from Marasmius tenuissimus, 98 nucleotides. The record is from the annotation of a GenBank genome assembly. Lineage: Eukaryota; Fungi; Basidiomycota; Agaricomycetes; Agaricales; Marasmiaceae.